Molecule: long non-coding RNA, 263 nt
Organism: Octodon degus (degu)
Lineage: Eukaryota; Metazoa; Chordata; Mammalia; Rodentia; Octodontidae
Exons: 3
Source: RefSeq, a predicted model, not a curated record
AGCAGUUCCAGGUUCGGGGACCUCGCAGCAGAAGAUCGCCCCGUCCCCCUCCCCUUCCCCCUCCUCCCCCUUCCUCCUUCUCCUGGCAUAGCUCACCGUGGAACUUGAGGAACCUCAGCGCUGGAGACCAUGGACAAGUUUGAUGUGAUUAAGGUCAUUGGGGAAGGAAAUUCCUACUUUGGAAAAGCCUACUUGGCUAAAGGGAGAGCAGACAGCAAACACUGUGUCAUAAAAGAGAUCAGUUUUGCCCAGACAGAAACAGG